RNAcentral lists this ribosomal RNA (1521 nucleotides) under metagenome. RNAcentral describes it as "bacterial SSU rRNA". It matches the Rfam family "Bacterial small subunit ribosomal RNA". The record is from RNAcentral.
AGAGUUUGAUCAUGGCUCAGAUUGAACGCUGGCGGCAGGCCUAACACAUGCAAGUCGAACGGUAACAGGAAGCAGCUUGCUGCUUCGCUGACGAGUGGCGGACGGGUGAGUAAUGUCUGGGAAGCUGCCUGAUGGAGGGGGAUAACUACUGGAAACGGUAGCUAAUACCGCAUAAUGUCGCAAGACCAAAGAGGGGGACCUUCGGGCCUCUUGCCAUCGGAUGUGCCCAGAUGGGAUUAGCUUGUUGGUGGGGUAACGGCUCACCAAGGCGACGAUCCCUAGCUGGUCUGAGAGGAUGACCAGCCACACUGGAACUGAGACACGGUCCAGACUCCUACGGGAGGCAGCAGUGGGGAAUAUUGCACAAUGGGCGCAAGCCUGAUGCAGCCAUGCCGCGUGUAUGAAGAAGGCCUUCGGGUUGUAAAGUACUUUCAGCGGGGAGGAAGGGAGUAAAGUUAAUACCUUUGCUCAUUGACGUUGCCCGCAGAAGAAGCACCGGCUAACUCCGUGCCAGCAGCCGCGGUAAUACGGAGGGUGCAAGCGUUAAUCGGAAUUACUGGGCGUAAAGCGCACGCAGGCGGUUUGUUAAGUCAGAUGUGAAAUCCCCGGGCUCAACCUGGGAACUGCAUCUGAUACUGGCAAGCUUGAGUCUCGUAGAGGGGGGUAGAAUUCCAGGUGUAGCGGUGAAAUGCGUAGAGAUCUGGAGGAAUACCGGUGGCGAAGGCGGCCCCCUGGACGAAGACUGACGCUCAGGUGCGAAAGCGUGGGGAGCAAACAGGAUUAGAUACCCUGGUAGUCCACGCCGUAAACGAUGUCGACUUGGAGGUUGUGCCCUUGAGGCGUGGCUUCCGGAGCUAACGCGUUAAGUCGACCGCCUGGGGAGUACGGCCGCAAGGUUAAAACUCAAAUGAAUUGACGGGGGCCCGCACAAGCGGUGGAGCAUGUGGUUUAAUUCGAUGCAACGCGAAGAACCUUACCUGGUCUUGACAUCCACGGAAGUUUUCAGAGAUGAGAAUGUGCCUUCGGGAACCGUGAGACAGGUGCUGCAUGGCUGUCGUCAGCUCGUGUUGUGAAAUGUUGGGUUAAGUCCCGCAACGAGCGCAACCCUUAUCCUUUGUUGCCAGCGGUCCGGCCGGGAACUCAAAGGAGACUGCCAGUGAUAAACUGGAGGAAGGUGGGGAUGACGUCAAGUCAUCAUGGCCCUUACGACCAGGGCUACACACGUGCUACAAUGGCGCAUACAAAGAGAAGCGACCUCGCGAGAGCAAGCGGACCUCAUAAAGUGCGUCGUAGUCCGGAUUGGAGUCUGCAACUCGACUCCAUGAAGUCGGAAUCGCUAGUAAUCGUGGAUCAGAAUGCCACGGUGAAUACGUUCCCGGGCCUUGUACACACCGCCCGUCACACCAUGGGAGUGGGUUGCAAAAGAAGUAGGUAGCUUAACCUUCGGGAGGGCGCUUACCACUUUGUGAUUCAUGACUGGGGUGAAGUCGUAACAAGGUAACCGUAGGGGACCUGCGGUUG